RNAcentral lists this transfer RNA (70 nucleotides) under Podarcis lilfordi (Lilford's wall lizard). RNAcentral's name for it is "tRNA.Ile". The record is from RNAcentral. Lineage: Eukaryota; Metazoa; Chordata; Lepidosauria; Squamata; Lacertidae.
GGGUAGCUCAGUUGGUUAGAACCUGGUGCUGAUAAUGCCAAGGUUGCAGGUUCAAUCACCGUAUGGGACA